Molecule: transfer RNA, 66 nt
Filed under: Hypselobarbus pulchellus
Lineage: Eukaryota; Metazoa; Chordata; Actinopteri; Cypriniformes; Cyprinidae
Description: tRNA-Cys
Rfam family: tRNA
About the family: Transfer RNA (tRNA) molecules are approximately 80 nucleotides in length. Their secondary structure includes four short double-helical elements and three loops (D, anti-codon, and T loops).
Source: RNAcentral
AGCCCUGUGGUGAAGAGCACAUUGGAUUGCAAAUCCAAAGGCGCAGAUGAUAGUCUGCCGGGGCUU